UAGGGAAUCUUCGGCAAUGGACGAAAGUCUGACCGAGCAACGCCGCGUGAGUGAAGAAGGUUUUCGGAUCGUAAAACUCUGUUGUUAGAGAAGAACAAGGACGUUAGUAACUGAACGUCCCCUGACGGUAUCUAACCAGAAAGCCACGGCUAACUACGUGCCAGCAGCCGCUGUAAUACGUCGGUGGCAAGCGUUGUCCGGAUUUAUUGGGCGUAAAGCGAGCGCAGGCGGUUUCUUAAGUCUGAUGUGAAAGCCCCCGGCUCAACCGGGGAGGGUCAUUGGAAACUGGGAGACUUGAGUGCAGAAGAGGAGAGUGGAAUUCCAUGUGUAGCGGUGAAAUGCGUAGAUAUAUGGAGGAACACCAGUGGCGAAGGCGGCUCUCUGGUCUGUAACUGACGCUGAGGCUCGAAAGCGUGGGGAGCAAACAGG
This 429-nucleotide ribosomal RNA is filed under the name Gemmatimonadota bacterium. Its description in RNAcentral is "Gemmatimonadetes bacterium partial 16S ribosomal RNA". It matches the Rfam family "Bacterial small subunit ribosomal RNA", at positions 355 to 776 of the family's 1533-position model. The record is from RNAcentral. Lineage: Bacteria; Pseudomonadati; Gemmatimonadota.